UAGCUGUUCAGAAAUCAAAUUUGUGGCUGC
This 30-nucleotide non-coding RNA is filed under the name Mus musculus (house mouse). Lineage: Eukaryota; Metazoa; Chordata; Mammalia; Rodentia; Muridae. The record is from RNAcentral.